CGUAUUCGAAUCCCGAUACGAGUAUCCUGGUUAAGUACGAUAACUCGUGCAUAGGUAAACAAAAUUUCAACAUGGAUACAUUUGUUGUUCGUUCGAAACGAAAGAAAGAUGAAGUAGAGAGUCCAAAUUGUCAGACUAGGACUGCAACUGACGAAAGUGGAGAAUCAUCUAAGACUGAAGCUUCUCCGACAAGUAAUACAUCGUCAUGUACACAACACCACCCCC
Molecule: long non-coding RNA, 225 nt
Filed under: Mytilus galloprovincialis (Mediterranean mussel)
Lineage: Eukaryota; Metazoa; Mollusca; Bivalvia; Mytilida; Mytilidae
Source: RNAcentral